RNAcentral lists this non-coding RNA (43 nucleotides) under Schistosoma mansoni. Lineage: Eukaryota; Metazoa; Platyhelminthes; Trematoda; Strigeidida; Schistosomatidae. The record is from RNAcentral.
AUAGCUGACGAGUUCCAAAUAGGACGAAAUGCGCGUCCGGGAU